This 87-nucleotide transfer RNA is filed under the name Luteibacter yeojuensis. Its description in RNAcentral is "tRNA-Leu". It matches the Rfam family "tRNA". From Rfam's summary of the family: Transfer RNA (tRNA) molecules are approximately 80 nucleotides in length. Their secondary structure includes four short double-helical elements and three loops (D, anti-codon, and T loops). Lineage: Bacteria; Pseudomonadati; Pseudomonadota; Gammaproteobacteria; Lysobacterales; Rhodanobacteraceae. RNAcentral also lists the same sequence under 11 other names. The record is from RNAcentral.
GCCGAAAUGGCGGAACCGGUAGACGCGGCGGACUCAAAAUCCGUUUGUAGAGAUACAGUGUGGGUUCGAGUCCCACUUUCGGCACCA